This 464-nucleotide ribosomal RNA is filed under the name uncultured Acidobacteriota bacterium. Its description in RNAcentral is "bacterial SSU rRNA". It matches the Rfam family "Bacterial small subunit ribosomal RNA", at positions 224 to 704 of the family's 1533-position model. The record is from RNAcentral. Lineage: Bacteria; Pseudomonadati; Acidobacteriota.
GAGGGGCCCGCGGCCGAUUACAGUGGUUGGUAGGGUAAUGGCCUACCAAGCCUGGGAUCGGUAGCCGGCCUGAGAGGGCACACGGCCACACUGGCACUGAAACACGGGCCAGACUCCUACGGGAGGCAGCAGUGGGGAAUCUUGCACAAUGGGGGCAACCCUGAUGCAGCGACGCCGCGUGAGCGAUGAAGCCCUUCGGGGUGUAAAGCUCUUUUGUCGGGGACAAUCAUGAUGGUACCCGGCGAAUAAGCUGCGGCUAACUGCGUGCCAGCAGCCGCGGUAAUACGUAGGCAGCAAGCGUUGUUCGGAAUUACUGGGCGUAAAGCGUGUGUAGGUGGUUGGGUAAGUCUGGUGUGAAAUCUCCCGGCUCAACUGGGAGGGUGCGCCGGAAACUGCCUGGCUAGAGUGCGGAAGAGGAGAGUGGAAUUCCCGGUGUAGCGGUGAAAUGCGUAGAUAUCGGGAGG